UGGGGAAUAUUGGACAAUGGGCGCAAGCCUGAUCCAGCCAUGCCGCGUGGGUGAUGAAGGCCUUAGGGUUGUAAAGCCCUUUCGGCGGGGAAGAUAAUGACGGUACCCGCAGAAGAAGCCCCGGCUAACUUCGUGCCAGCAGCCGCGGUAAUACGAAGGGGGUUAGCGUUGCUCGGAAUCACUGGGCGUAAAGCGCGCGUAGGCGGGUCGCUAAGUCAGGGGUGAAAUCCUGGAGCUCAACUCCAGAACUGCCUUUGAUACUGGGGACCUUGAGUCCGGGAGAGGGGAGUGGAAUUGCGAGUGUAGAGGUGAAAUUCGUAGAUAUUCGCAAGAACACCAGUGGCGAAGGCAACCAUCUGGGCCGGCAUUGACGCUGAGGCGCGAAAGCGUGGGGAGCAAACAGGAUUAGAUACCCCCGUAGUCC
RNAcentral lists this ribosomal RNA (424 nucleotides) under uncultured prokaryote. RNAcentral describes it as "bacterial SSU rRNA". It matches the Rfam family "Bacterial small subunit ribosomal RNA", at positions 355 to 796 of the family's 1533-position model. The record is from RNAcentral.